RNAcentral lists this ribosomal RNA (372 nucleotides) under uncultured methanogenic archaeon. RNAcentral describes it as "bacterial SSU rRNA". It matches the Rfam family "Archaeal small subunit ribosomal RNA", at positions 39 to 420 of the family's 1478-position model. Lineage: Archaea; Methanobacteriati; Methanobacteriota. The record is from RNAcentral.
UCAGACUAAGACAUGCAAGUCGUGAGGGUUCGGCCCUCGCGAGACGGCUCAGUAACACGUGGAUAAUCUACCCUUAGGUGGAGGAUACCCUCGGAAACUGAGAAUAAUACUCCAUGGAUCUAGACUGCUGGAAUGCUUUUAGAUCGAAAGAUUUAUCGCCUAAGGAUGAGUCUGCGGACUAUCAGGUUGUAGUCAGGGUAAUGACCUGACUAGCCUACGACGGAUACGGGUAGUGAGAGCUUUAGCCCGGAGAUGAUACCUGAGACACGAUAUCAGGCCCUACGGGGCACGAGGCGGAAAACUUCGCACUGUGCGAAAGCGAGCGGGGGAAUCCCCAAGUCUUGCUCGGUAGAGUCAGCUGUUUCUCUGUCU